Dendrothele bispora CBS 962.96 is the source of this 101-nucleotide non-coding RNA. The record is from the annotation of a GenBank genome assembly. Lineage: Eukaryota; Fungi; Basidiomycota; Agaricomycetes; Agaricales.
GCCCGCUUAGCUCAGUGGUAGAGCGCGCCACUCGUAUGUUCCAAACCUGCUUAUAUGUAUUGGAAAUGGUGAGGUCGGUUGUUCAAUCCAGCCAGUGGGCA